CAGAGGGUGCAAGCGUUAAUCGGAGUUACUGGGCGUAAAGGGCGCGUAGGCGGUUGUAUAAGUGAGAUGUGAAAGCCCUGGGCUUAACCUAGGAACAGCAUCUUAUACUGUAUGACUGGAGUACUGUAGAGGGUAGUGGAAUUUCCGGUGUAGCGGUGAAAUGCGUAGAGAUCGGAAGGAACACCAGUGGCGAAGGCGGCUACCUGGACAGAUACUGACGCUGAGGCGCGAGAGCGUGGGGAGCAAACAGGAUUAGAUACCCUGGUAGUCCACGCUGUAAACGAUGAGAACUAGAUGUUGGUCAGCUUGACUGAUUAGUAUCGAAGCUAACGCGAUAAGUUCUCCGCCUGGGGAGUACGGCCGCAAGGUUA
RNAcentral lists this ribosomal RNA (371 nucleotides) under uncultured organism. Its description in RNAcentral is "bacterial SSU rRNA". It matches the Rfam family "Bacterial small subunit ribosomal RNA", at positions 526 to 896 of the family's 1533-position model. The record is from RNAcentral.